RNAcentral lists this ribosomal RNA (253 nucleotides) under uncultured bacterium. RNAcentral describes it as "partial 16S ribosomal RNA". It matches the Rfam family "Bacterial small subunit ribosomal RNA", at positions 524 to 776 of the family's 1533-position model. The record is from RNAcentral.
UACGUAGGGGGCAAGCGUUGUCCGGAUUUACUGGGCGUAAAGAGCGCGUAGGCGGAAGUUUAAGCGUGGCCUGAAAGCCCCCGGCUCAACCGGGGAGUGCGGCUGCGAACUGGAUUUCUUGAGGACGAUAGAGGAGAGUGGAAUUCCUGGUGUAGCGGUGAAAUGCGUAGAUAUCAGGAGGAACACCCGAGGCGAAGGCGGCUCUCUGGGUCGUACCUGACGCUGAGGAGCGAAAGCGUGGGGAGCGAACAGG